This is a long non-coding RNA of Gasterosteus aculeatus (three-spined stickleback), 5923 nucleotides long. The record is from Ensembl. Lineage: Eukaryota; Metazoa; Chordata; Actinopteri; Perciformes; Gasterosteidae.
UUAUUCAUUGAGUGAAUCAGUGAGUCAUAACAUCCGCGUCCAGCUGCUUCACAGAAGAUCAAAGUCAUCAUCUGACUUGAGGUGAUGUAUUCAUUUAUUAAAAUGACCUACUUACAAGUAACCCUCUACAGUAACAAUCACAUAAUGAAGCAAAGUGCAACAUUGCGAUGCCAUUAGCACUAGAUUCUUAAAUGUUGUUUGAUUUGGGGGUACUUUGAGUUCAAUGUUGCGCAAUACUCAACUUAUGCCCGUUUGAAACCAUGGCAACUCAUUCCACCUGAUAAACAGCACAAGACCAAGUGAAUCAUUCGUGUUUCCUCACAGUGUCAAAGAAAGAACUCAACCGAUUACUUCACGCUGCCAGAUUAUUUUAGAUAAGCGUGCUCAUUGAAUAAGAACAUAAUGAUAAAGGAACUUUGCGUUUGCAAAUGCUUGUUGAAAAACGCAUAACAACUCUCUCUCAGCAGUGAAGUGAACUUGCACGCUGACUGGCCGCGCCCACAAAACCUGUCAGCCAACACAAUUAAUAUUAAUGUGCAGCCAGGAACAUAUCAGCACUUGUUCCGUGUUAUUGUUUAGCUUCAUUGGUUAUCUUACACUAGUUCCAACUGAAAUACUUGAAGAAGUCACCAUUAUUACCAGUAAUGUGCAUGUGUGUGUGUGUAUAAAUGUGUGCAUGUUUGUAUGUGUGGGCGUGUGUUCCAAUGUCGGGACCAGGAAACUAACAGUGGCAGGAGGAGGACUCAGGGACAAACGAAAGCAGAUACAAUGUGCACCAGAGGGAGACCAGCUGCUUGGCAACUCCGCGGCCAACAACACGGCCAUCACACCGCCCGCGGACCUCCAGAGUCGGAUCCGCGUACAUAAAGAAGAGUACCUGAUCGGGUUCCAGAUCAGCCAUCUCACACACAAGGACUCGGGGGUUUAUAGGGUGGAAUGCUGGAAGAACCAGACGCUGGACAGCCAGCAGAAACAGGAGCUGUUUGUGUGCAAUGAGGAAACCUCACCUGAAGAGAUUCAUGUGAAGGAAGAAAACGGAGGGGCUGAGAUUCAAUGCAACAGCAGAUACAUCGGUUUGGAGGGAACCUCUGUGCGCUGGUACUACGAGUCGUAUCCCUCAUACAAGCCAACGCUCCUCCUGGAUAGCAGCGUGUCGUUGGUGCCGCUGGUGGAGGAGCUACAGAGUGUGGUGGAGGUCAGAGAUCACGGGACAUUGCUCUUACUCAAAAACAGCCAGUUAAAGAAAAAUCUGCAUUUUAUUUGUCUUGUGAGCAAAGGUGAGAACUGUCUCAGUUUUCAGAAUGUGGAACCGUCAGAUGGCAGUGACAGCAGGUACAUUUUUGCCUUGGACGGGGACAAAGUGGUGUUACCAUGCCCCUCUGAAGGGAACGACCAGCACUGGGAGUCUCCCUUUGGGAGGGUCGAUGGUGACAGCGAGAAGAUGCACGUGUCAUUCGGUGACAAAUCUGAAGACUUCUCAUUGGUAAUUCCUGCUUUUUCUGAUGAGCUCAGUGGGGACUAUUCGUGCAUCUCCUCCUUGCUUGAAUUGCAGUACUUUCUGGUUAAUUGUUACCAAAAAGAAUCCCAAGAAAAAGUUGCCGUUGAGGGCGGGAACGCGCUGCUGGAGUGCCACGCUGACAGAGACGAUAUCCAAAGGGUGCAGUGGCACCGCCGAGAGCCUGGAUCGGGCAAAAAUAAACUUAUCUACGACUCAAGGGACGCGACUGUUCACAUCCCCGGGGAUCUGAGAGGAAGACUGUCUCUGUCUGAGAAUGGCUCCUUGUUCAAUAUAUUCCACCUGGAGGCGAGAGACCAAGGAGUGUACUGGUGUGUUGUUUUAGAAGACAACUUCCUGGACGAAUACACAGAUGAUACUGAGGAUGCAGACUCUGAAGAGCAAAUAGAGGAUGACCAGUACUUCGACGAUGACACAUUCAAAUGCAUUUUCAAACAGGAGACCGAUUUGAGGGUAGAAAUUCGGCCCACCAUAAAAACAGUAGUAGUAGAAAGGAGCCCGAAAUCUGCCCCCGAAGCCGAUCCAUCAACAGGCUCUAAUGUUGCUGCCUAUGCUGUGGGUGCAGGACUGGCAGUGCUGCUGCUGGUGGUUGGAGGGAUUGUAGCAGUGAUUGUAAUAAAGAGGAAAGCAGAGGUCACAGCGAACAGAGAAUUAACAAUAAGAGUGGAUCCUGGUUGUACUGAAGUUGUUUUUUAUUUUUCUAAGUCAUCACAACCUCCAUAUCAUUUCUAUCAUCUUGUGAUAGCGAGUCAGGAAGAUUCCCAAGACAUUAUGUAAAGUGCUUGCAUGAGUUAUUGACUGUAGCUGACUGUUGACAUAUUGAUUCAACUGUGCAUUUCAUAAAACAAUAUAAUGUCCUGUUUGUAUUUUAACAAAUGUGUGAAGCGUGCAUUGACAUAUUAAUAAACACUUUGAAGAAAGAAUCUGGAAAAUGUUUCAUCCUCAGUAUAUAAUCUCAUUUUGUUCCGUAGAAACCGAGAAAGCCAACGCUUGUCUCAUUGGGCUGCGAUUAUCCAUGUUCUGAGUUAAUGAGCAGGUUUUUUACCUGCUGAAGGAAACUCGUCUGCAUCACGGCCAACUAAACACGUGUCCUGUCACGCCGGUAACAUCGGGGUCUAGAAAGGCUCCUGUCAAAUAUAUACAGGCAUAGCAAUUUCAGUAGUUAAAGCGUUAGCUUCAACGUAGUUAUUCUGUCCAAAAGAGUUUAUCUCAACAAAAGGGAAAGGUUGGAAAACGAAAAGUCAUUAAAGGAUUUGCUUCAUGGCGGAGAAUUAAAUCAGACAAUCCUCUCAUCUAACUCUUGGCAAAUAAAUGAUUAUACAUAUAUCCAAAUUGUUGUUUUAAAUUGGGUAAAAUAUUAUAGUAUAACUAUUAGGGCCAUAUUGACUUGCAGGGGUCAAAUUACCGAAUGUGCUUUGACACUCAACAAACAAGCUGCAAAACUGACGAUCCAAAACCUGUUUUGAUUUUAAUACUCCUACACACUUCACCCCUUUGAGCCUUGAUAAAUAUGUAUUAUCCACAGCAGUGCCGAUACAUCCAAGGAGGAAAUAUGGUUUUCUCUUGCCGGCGUAUAAAAAAACACACACAAAAUUGUAUUCCAUUGUUCUUAAUUUGAUGUUGGGCCAAUAUUUGAUACUGCAGCUGCAGAGAACAAAUGGACCUUUAGGGGAAUCCAAAACUAAUUGUUUACCUGUGUGUAAUAACAUCUCUUAAUAACAGAAUAGUUUAAUGAAAAAACGUCGGAUUAAGCCACGAACGAACUAUGAUAGCUAUGAGUAAAAGGAGUAAUUUAGACAUUUGCCCCAAUUUUGUUUUAAUAGAUACCUUUAAAAAACACAUCCACGAUCCAUGGAUAUGCUACUGUGGUAGGAAAAGACAAACAAUGUCUGUAGCAAAGAAAAAUACAGCCACAGUUGUCAAAUUGUUCCUGACAACUUGUUAAAAUGAGUUUGAGAAGCACGGAUGAAUCACGCCCCCUUUGCAGGCCUGAUGGAGACACAGAUGUGAAAGAAGAGCAGCUGCUCGGUGCUCUCAGGUGUAAUUACGAGAGGGCUCGGCCACACAAAAAGGCCCCCGGGAGGCCCGACGCAGCGGCGGGGGGGGGGGGGGGGGGGGUCGGUGGCCCAGAGGGUGGGAAGACCAAGCAGCCGGCUCCCCUCCCCUUGUUACGGGGAGAGACUAUAAAUGGAAGUGGCUUAAUUGUGGAGGCAUCUGUCAGACCCUCUGUGUGCGUGUGGAAGGGCGGGUUUUCAGCCUCCAUCUGCGCAGCGUGCGGGUUUGAGCGUAAGCAAACUCUGAGUCAUCGCAUUGGCAGUGCAGAACCAAAGUUAGAAAAAAAUACAAUUCUAUUAAACCAGCCAGGAAAUUGUGUUUUAGUAAUUGUUAGGAUGAUCUGAUGUUCAGACAUACACACUCCAUUUUUUACACCAAUGUAACAAUCCAAAAUCACAGCUGGGAGAUGUUAAUUUGAUGCCCCGUGGCUACGCCUGCCCCCCCACCACCACCCGAUGGCACCUGUUUCUGCCCGGUCAGGGGACAACAUUCUGUAGAAUCAGCAGGGCUGUUGGGCGCUGCCGGUCAGUGCCUGCGGGGUCUCAAUCUGCUGUAAUUUGCCAGGCCCAUUACUCCCCCAAAAAGCGAACGCUGUGAGCCUUGUGAGUGUGAAACAGUUUGGUGGAAUAGAGAGAGAGGGGGGGGGGGGGAGCAAGAGAGACAGAAAGAGAGAGAGAGAAGGAAGAGGGGGGGAGAGAGCACCUUGCUAUUUGCCAGUGUCUGAUGUGUUGUGCUAAUGGCACCAAUUAUGCAGCAGAGAGCACCGCUGAUGGGCUGGUUUUCACACAGCAGAAAUGCUGGGAGUAAAACGGCUGCAGCGGAAACCUCACGGGUAGCAAAACCCCCCCCCAAAAAAAAGGGAGUGAUGUUAGGGAGACGAGCCUCUCGGGGCUUUUCCUCCCUGUGAUAGCAGGCCGCUCCCUACCCAGACGCGAGGAGGCGUCUGGUUGGGUCGCAGCCACGCAGGAAUUUAUGGCUGUUAUUUUCAGAUGGCCAAUCCAAGCGAAACCGGGACCAAUCAAACACUCUCAACAAAAGUGACUUCGCCCGUGGAAGUCUCAAAGGCUUUCGGUGGAUUCGAUUUGAAGCCUUUGACUUUGGAACCAGUGGGCGUGUGUUCCCGGGAUGCUGUGAUAAUACAACUUCCGCUCCCGUGUGCGGUGAAACCCGUCGGAGAGAAGAAGGUGCACCAGAGGUAUAUAUUAUUUGUAAUCCUCUGGCAUUGUUGCUCAUUGUGUGAUGUUUGCAAGCAACAACCGUUUCAUGUUCUGGAAUGAAGCAUCACAAGUGAACAUUUUGAGAAGAGUCUGCUUGCACGCAAAAGGGAAGCUGGGCCAGAAGAAUCGCUGUCAUGUAAUUGGCUCCUCGGGCGUGACAGAAGUAAAAGAGUUGUUUUAUGAAUGUCUUGAUGGGUGCGAGGAGAAAACUUGAGAGAAAAGAGAAGUUUUAAUUUCAUUACACGAGGCCUGGAGUCGCCCAUGCGCAGAAGCCGGAUGAUUACACGCCCUACAGUGUGGAAGCAGAUUUUUAGUUGUUGUUGUUGUUGCACACAGCAGGGUUUGACAACACAACUGUGCAGCCAACUUGCUCACUCAUCUGCAUAUGAAAUAAAAAUAAUUGCGAGGGGGGGGGAAAUGAGACCAUCUAUAUUCAAGAGAUCUCUCCAAAAACAAUCACACAGCGUGGUGAAGGCGAGCCAGCGCAGCCACACCUCUGAUGCACAGAUGGCGUGCGUAAAAAACCCCGUCCGUUGCCCCUCCCCGCUCUCCCUCCAUCCUCCUCGCCGCAGAAGCCUCUCUUUCUGGUGUCCAUCUCGUCCCUCGCGUCCCAACCUUGUCCCUUGUUCGUCUCAUCGCCCCGCGUGUCACUCAACGUAUUCCUCUCGGGCAGCGGAGCGCCUCGACCAGCCACCCGACCGUAGCCUUUAAUUCAAUAAAUGAAGGCUUGCAGAAAGUUGGCAGGGAACACCACAGCUGGGUAAAUGUUGGCCCUGAAAGCUUCGGGUUCAUAAAGACGGGGCCGUUCCUUCUGUGAUUUAGAAACAGCCAGCGCAGGGAUUGUCUGCGGGCUAAACAAAUUCGUGCCAGAUGAUGUUCUUCUCCCUUAAUAGCCUGUUGAAGACGGAGCACAGGGCAGCCCAGUCAGGAGUUCUCUGUGCUUCACGAUAACAGGCAACCAAAGUGACUCAGACACUGAGUCUGAUUGGGGUCAGAAUCAUUGAAUUCAGACAUGACCUCAAGGGAUGUUAGACUCAUAGAAAACUCCAUAUCUUACCAACAUGGAUCUUUUAUGCGAAGUAUUAAACAUCUUUUAAUUCAAUUUUAAGAAAUAGACAUUAUUUUUGGUGUUAGU